GAAGUCAUCAUGCAAUGUAUGCUAAUACCCUUCUGAAUCAGAUGACAAAUACGGUCUUGUAACAAUUUUUUUGAGCAAUUAAGUCCACUAUCCUUCUUCUAACCUGUACUAGAGAUUAGAUAGGCUAGUGAAAUACUGUGUGCUUAACUUUCUCUUCAAAAAUCACUGGAUGGUUAACUUUUGGCUUGCAUUUUCCUAAACAUCUUUUAACCAUAUGCUUUUUGUAAUAACUGAUGUAGUCUAUCUGGCACUAGGUCACUUUCUGUGUGUUGUUUUUUGUUUUUAAAAAAGGGAGAUCUGAAGUGUAUCAGUGUUUUAUCUGGGGAAAAUUUCUGUGAAUUUGUGUCGAAAAAGUUCUUAUGUUUUCCAUUUUCUUCUUUCUUAAUUCAUACUGAUUGUAACAAGGUCUUAUUUAUGUGUGUAGCUUCAAGGCUGUUAAACCAGGAUAAUACAAAACUUAAAACUGAUAACAAGGUGACGGUGAAGUGCAGAAGGAGCAGUUUUCCAAGGUAUCAUUCUUCCUUCAAAUAUGUAUAAAUAGCUAAGCUUGAUCAAAAGUAAACGUCCAGUUAUUUUCACCAUGCACCUAAUAGUUGCUGGCUCACAGUGUUUGUAUAGUUCAUUAGUUUUAAACCAUAGGCAUUAUUCAAUUCAUUAAUCAAAGUUGACAAAUAUACAAUGAGCCUAGUGCUUCUUGAAUCUGGAGAUAGUUUUAAUAUUUAUGUUCCGGCUGUAGGUUUCUGGAUCUCUUUCACGCUUAUAUGUAAGCAGGCGCAGUACACCAAUUUCAUCGGUGUUAUAAAGCUCUACGAGAAGAGAGGGUCGGGCUUAUGCCCUGCCCCAUAUAUGAUAAUCUUCAUAGUGUAAGUAGAUGUAACUUUGCCAUCAAUGAACAUGAAGUUGCAAUCUUCAGUUGACUUUCAUUUCUCAUAGUAUGUUCUUGUAAGUUCAAUAAGCAUAUGACAUUCUAUAUAACAUCAAUUCCACACUGGAUUCAGGGGAAGUGAAGUAACAAAAAAGAUCAUUGGACAAUUUUGGUACUCCAUUGUCAUGUUAUUUUAUACUAUGUUACCCUUUGAAUAAUGAGUGUUUGGGUUACACUUUUAUUAUUUGAGUUGGGAUAUAUUGGUAAAGUUAUAGUAAAAUGUGAAAUGUCAAAGUGUAAAGGUAAACCUAUGGAGAAAGAAAAAGAAGAUAGCCGAUUAUGUUUGUGGUGG
Molecule: long non-coding RNA, 1217 nt
Filed under: Solanum tuberosum (potato)
Lineage: Eukaryota; Viridiplantae; Streptophyta; Magnoliopsida; Solanales; Solanaceae
Description: long non-coding RNA (STUB_LNC005246)
Source: RNAcentral